GCUUGUGCUUAAAAAAACUUCUUCCAUCUGACAGACACAGGUGUGCGAUAGUCCAGCUUGUACUAAUAAAAACGUCUUCCAUCUGACGAACACAGGUGUGCGAUAGUCCAGCUUGUACUAAUAAAAACGUCUUCCAUCUGACGGACACAGGUGUGCGAAAGUCCAGCUUGUUACUAAUAAAAACUUCUUCCAUCUGACAGACAGGUGUGCGAUAGUCCAGCUUGUACU
This is a long non-coding RNA of Branchiostoma floridae (Florida lancelet), 228 nucleotides long. RefSeq lists it as uncharacterized. The record is from RefSeq and is a predicted model, not a curated record. NCBI's taxonomy places the organism in Eukaryota, Metazoa, Chordata, Leptocardii, Amphioxiformes, Branchiostomatidae. The transcript has 2 exons.